Biomphalaria glabrata is the source of this 982-nucleotide RNA transcript. It is a transcript of the gene named mitogen-activated protein kinase kinase kinase 13-B-like, with no coding region annotated. The transcript has 7 exons. Lineage: Eukaryota; Metazoa; Mollusca; Gastropoda; Planorbidae. The record is from RefSeq and is a predicted model, not a curated record.
UCUUUAGGAGUAAUAUCCCUUGUUUUCAACCAAGAUGGAUGGCAUAAGAUUAAACAGCUGAUUUUGGUGUCUAUAGCUUAUCCCUAGAGUUUUGUUAUUAUUCAUUCAUGUUAAUCAACAACCCUAACGUACAUCUUAAGGUGAAGAGUAGUUCAGGCAAGACCAGUAUGUGGUCCAUAAUACUUGCUAAUUGUAUUGCAAGGGACACAAGAAGAAUAGGUGCAACAAUUUCCUCUUCUGAUGAUUGGGAAAUUCCAUUUGAAAGUAUCACAGAUCUCCAGUGGCUGGGAAGUGGAGCCCAUGGGCCUGUGUUUCUUGGCAAACUCUGUAAUGAAAAAGUAGCAGUCAAGAAGGUCAGAGAUGUUAAAGAGACAGACAUUUGGAAAUUAAGAAAACUGAAUCACCCAAACAUUAUAGCGCUCAAUGUUCUUGUGGCAUCCAAUGAUAUUGUCAGGAACCAGCUGAGAGUGGAAUGAAAAAAAAAGCACUAAAAUGUCAUUUGCUGGCACUGUGGCCUGAAUGGCAUCAGAAGUCAUUUGAAAUAAAAUGUGCAGUGAAAUGAAAAAGUAGACAUUUGGAAUGCAAAGCUCAAAAAUAGACCAUCAUUUAGACAAAUUCUCAUGCACCUUGAGAUUGCCUCUGCUAAAUUACUUUGGUUCAGUCGGGAGGACUUUUCUGAAUCUCAAUGAAGUCCUUAACUGAAAGACACAGAUUCUGUCAUUAUCAUCAAGAUAUUCUAAGAAAGGAUCUGAGAUGAGAACAAUUACUGACUAUGUACAAUAAUACUAGAAAGAGUAUAAUUCGUCCAGUCAUAAAAGUUCUAGAAAUGCCAGAUCGACUUGGUAAAAAAACUGACACAUAGGUCAGAGUCUGAAGUCACCAUGCCUGACUCUAUAAAAAACACAGAAGGGAGCAUGACAACCAGGUCUUAGCUGGUACCACCACCUCCUACGAAAAUGUGUGCCAGGAAGUCUCGUCGUCG